AACAUUCAUUGCUGUCGCUGGGUU
RNAcentral lists this non-coding RNA (24 nucleotides) under Drosophila erecta. RNAcentral also lists the same sequence under 4 other names. The record is from RNAcentral. Lineage: Eukaryota; Metazoa; Arthropoda; Insecta; Diptera; Drosophilidae.